This is an RNA transcript of Mus musculus (house mouse), 883 nucleotides long. It is a transcript of the gene named motile sperm domain containing 4, with no coding region annotated. The record is from RefSeq and is marked validated. Lineage: Eukaryota; Metazoa; Chordata; Mammalia; Rodentia; Muridae. The transcript has a single exon.
GCGAACCGCCACCCGCUCCCGUCCCCAUGGCGUCCACCUCCCGCGCCCCCGCGAAGCCCCAGCAGGUCCUAGUCCUCGACCCACCCACGGACCUCAAGUUCAAAGGCCCCUUCACCGGGUUGCUCACGGCGCAUCUUAAACUGCGCAACCCGUCGGCGAGGAAGGUGUGUUUCAAGGUGAAGAGCACCAGCCCUCGGCGCUACUGCGUGCGGCCCAACAACGGAGUCAUCGACCCGGGUUGCACCGUGACCGUCGCUGCCACGAUGCAACCCUCCUGCUGCGGCCCCAGCAAGGAGGUCAAGCACAAGUUCAUGGUGCAGACAGUGUUUGCUCCUCCGGACAUUUCGGAUCUGGAAGCCGUGUGGAGGGAGGCACACCCUGGGGAACUAAUGGAUUCGAAACUGAGGUGUGUGUUUGAACCGCCGACAGAAAGUGACAAACUGGAAGAUGGCUUGAGACUCAGAAAGGCAACGCAUCCCGACAAGCCCAGACCCUCCUCCUCCACGUCCUUGAAGCCGGCUCGCAGCACGCCUCUUCCUGUUGUUCUGCUGGUGAUCGGAGCAGUUUUCUUUGGAUUCUUUCUAGGGAAAUUCGUCUUGUAGAGUGAGGCACGCACACUAUCCCCCUCACCCUACACUCCCCCUCCCCCAACUAAGACCAGAAAAAAAAAUUCUUUAUCCAUCAUCUAUUGGAAGUAUGGCCCGCCCGCGGUGGCAGAUUUUGUGUGCGAGUAGUCACAUAGGCUUCUUCACCCCUAAUGAUCUCUUGUGAUUGGAGGACGCAAUAAAUGAACAAACCAAAUAAAGAACUGAUGGGCUACUGGACAGAUUGCCUAUUAUCGGAUCAUCAAAGCCAGUUGCCCAUUCAGUGCGUGGUGAAAUGC